Molecule: long non-coding RNA, 700 nt
Filed under: Zea mays
Lineage: Eukaryota; Viridiplantae; Streptophyta; Magnoliopsida; Poales; Poaceae
Description: drought-responsive long non-coding RNA
Source: RNAcentral
ACCCUACUCCAUCUUCUCGUGUUGUUCGGCGCACGCGGAGACAGCCCGCGAUCCCGAUCCCGAUCCUUCUUCACGCGAAUCUCGACGAUCCCCCCCUUCCUUCCUUCAAGGUACGGCGAAUCGGCGAUCAUCCUCCCGCUUUCCCUUCUCCUCUAGGUAUAAUGAUUUGUUAUAGGUUAUGGGGACUUUUGAGUCAUCGGGUCGAUCUGACGAUUUGCUAUGGGUGCUCUGAGUACUCGACCUGGGAACUGUGGGGCGCUUGUAGGCGGCGCAGAGUUGGGUCUCGUCGUUGUAAUGAUUCCAUCGGCUCGUUGCGUAGGGUUUGAUCUGCCUGUCGUUUUCUUUUCUUUUAAUUAAAUUUCUGAUGCACAGUCAUGUAUUGAUCUGGUUUGGUGUUCCUAGAUGCGUGUAAUAAAUGGGGAAAAAACCAUGUCGUAAUAAAAUCAAUUUAUUUUUAAUAAAAAAAAUCUGAAUUCUGGCUCUAGUGAAUAAAUGGAUAGAGCCUGGCUCUAAUUCUGGUAAAAUAAAAAGACAACGAGCUUAACUUCUUAAUUGGUCAAUUGGAAGGGUUCUCCGAUCUAAUUAGACGUUGAAAAUAUAUUGCAAGAUUACUUCACUUCUUUAAAUUGCCAAGAAACCAUAAAUUUACCAUUGUGAUUGGGGCUACUUUUUUUUAACCUUUAGCCUUUGUGAAAUUUAA